AGAGUUUGAUCCUGGCUCAGAACGAACGCUGGCGGCGUGCCUAACACAUGCAAGUCGAGCGAGAAAGGGGGGGCAACCCUCUGAGUAGAGCGGCGCACGGGUGAGUAACGCGUGGGUAACCUACCCCCAGGCGGGGGAUAACUACUCGAAAGGGUGGCUAAUACCGGAUGAUGCUCGACYUGCCACRWGAGDGUCGYGAGGAAAGGAUAGCUUCGGCCUCCGCAUCUGGGAUGGGCCCGCGGCCCAUUAGCUUGUUGGUGRGGUAACGGCYYACCAAGGCKACGAUGGGUAGCUGGUCUGAGAGGACGAUCAGCCACACUGGGACUGAGACACGGCCCAGACUCCUACGGGAGGCAGCAGUGGGGAAUCUUGCGCAAUGCGCGAAAGCGUGACGCAGCAACGCCGCGUGGGGGAAGAMGGCCUUCGGGUUGUAAACCCCUUUCAGUUGGGACGAAGCUUCGUSCGGUKAAUAGCCGGCUGGAGUGACGGUACCUUCASAAGAAGCCCCGGCUAACUACGUGCCAGCAGCCGCGGUAAUA
RNAcentral lists this ribosomal RNA (539 nucleotides) under bacterium enrichment culture clone Cont63_3131. RNAcentral describes it as "partial 16S ribosomal RNA". It matches the Rfam family "Bacterial small subunit ribosomal RNA", at positions 8 to 525 of the family's 1533-position model. The record is from RNAcentral.